GGACCACCCGCUAAGCCUAAAUAUUCCCUGGUGACCGAUAGCGGACAAGUACCGUGAGGGAAAGGUGAAAAGUACCCCGGGAGGGGAGUGAAAUAGAUCCUGAAACCGUGUGCCUACAAUCCGUCGGAGCCUCCUUGUGGGGUGACGGCGUGCCUUUUGAAGAAUGAGCCUGCGAGUUAGUGCUCGGUGGCGAGGUUAACCCGUGUGGGGAAGCCGUAGCGAAAGCGAGUCCGAAUAGGGCGAAUGAGUCGCCGGGUCUAGACCCGAAGCGGAGUGAUCUACCCAUGGCCAGGUUGAAGCGCAGGUAAGACUGCGUGGAGGACCGAACCCACUUAGGUUGAAAACUGAGGGGAUGAGCUGUGGGUAGGGGUGAAAGGCCAAUCAAACUCCGUGAUAGCUGGUUCUCCCCGAAAUGCAUUUAGGUGCAGCGUCACGUGUUUCUUACCGGAG
Molecule: ribosomal RNA, 450 nt
Filed under: uncultured bacterium
Lineage: Bacteria
Description: bacterial LSU rRNA
Rfam family: Bacterial large subunit ribosomal RNA
Source: RNAcentral